This 493-nucleotide ribosomal RNA is filed under the name uncultured bacterium. RNAcentral's name for it is "partial 16S ribosomal RNA". It matches the Rfam family "Bacterial small subunit ribosomal RNA", at positions 30 to 523 of the family's 1533-position model. The record is from RNAcentral.
AUUGAACGCUGGCGGCAUGCUUUACACAUGCAAGUCGAACGGUAACAGGUUAAGCUGACGAGUGGCGAACGGGUGAGUAAUGCAUCGGAACGUGCCCGGUCGUGGGGGAUAACACUUCGAAAGAAGUGCUAACACCGCAUACGAUCUGAGGAUGAAAGCGGGGGACCGUAAGGCCUCGCGCGAUCGGAGCGGCCGAUGUCAGAUUAGGUAGUUGGUGGGGUAAAGGCUCACCAAGCCGACGAUCUGUAGCUGGUCUGAGAGGAUGACCAGCCCCACGGGGACUGGGAAACGGCCCAGACCCAUACGGGAGGCAGCAGUGGGGAAUUUUGGACAAUGGGCGAAAGCUUGAUCCAGCAAUGCCGCGUGCAGGAAGAAGGCCUUCGGGUUGUAAACUGCUUUUGUACGGAGCGAAAAGGCUCUCUCUAAUAAAGGGGGCUCAUGACGGUACCGUAAGAAUAAGCUCCGGCUAACUACGUACCAGCCGCCGCGGUAA